ACGCUCGACACCUACGGGAGGCAGCAGUGGGGGAUAUUGCGCAAUGGGGGAAACCCUGACGCAGCAACGCCGCGUGAAGGACGAAGGUUUUCGGAUUGUAAACUUCUUUUGUUAGGGACGAAGAAAUGACGGUACCUGACGAAUAAGCUCCGGCUAACUACGUGUCAGCAGCCGCGUAAUCUGAGCGGGCUGGCAAGGC
This 199-nucleotide ribosomal RNA is filed under the name uncultured bacterium. RNAcentral's name for it is "partial 16S ribosomal RNA". It matches the Rfam family "Bacterial small subunit ribosomal RNA", at positions 328 to 539 of the family's 1533-position model. The record is from RNAcentral.